GACGUUAAUAUGCCUUCCGGGAAAAACAAACAGGCGUGCUCACAGAUUUACUAUACAACUCUAUGGAUGUGCUCUUUUCGCGGAACAAACUUUGUCAGCCUACUUUUUUUAUAAUAAUGGAGCCGACGUCUUCCAAACGCCAGCGAGGAGCAAACUGGUCCAGCAGGGAAGUACGGGCAUUAUUAGAGUUUAAGAGAGAGGUUUUUGAGAUAACUCUAGUCAGCAGCUGCCCAGAUUUGCCUUCAUAUGCACCUGUUCCUGAUGCUGGCCUAACAAAGGAAGUGUUCUCUAGUGUAGAUGUCUAUGAUACAAAUAGUUUAAGAUGUACUCUCAAUAUAUAUUCUGAGAAAAUAAGUGUCAAGCAGAAU
Pomacea canaliculata is the source of this 368-nucleotide long non-coding RNA. RefSeq lists it as uncharacterized. The record is from RefSeq and is a predicted model, not a curated record. The transcript has 3 exons. Lineage: Eukaryota; Metazoa; Mollusca; Gastropoda; Architaenioglossa; Ampullariidae.